UGAGGAAAACAAGUGGUUCAGAUAAC
RNAcentral lists this non-coding RNA (26 nucleotides) under Rattus norvegicus (Norway rat). The record is from RNAcentral. Lineage: Eukaryota; Metazoa; Chordata; Mammalia; Rodentia; Muridae.